Molecule: unclassified non-coding RNA, 149 nt
Filed under: soil metagenome
Description: partial internal transcribed spacer 1
Source: RNAcentral
CCGAGUUUACAACUCCCAAACCCCUGUGAACAUACCUACUUGUUGCCUCGGCGGAUCAGCCCGCGCCCGUAAAACAGGACGGCCCGCCAGAGGAACCCCUAAACUCUGUUUCUAUAGUGGAACUUCUGAGUAAAAACCAUAAUAAAUCA